GACGAACGCUGGCGGCGUGCUUAACACAUGCAAGUCGAACGGAGAAGCGUCUUCCUUGUUGGUCGGGGUGGAUGAGUGGCGAACGGGUGAGUAACACGUGAGUAACCUUCUCCGUUCUGCUGGAUAACCGGAUGAAAGUGCGGCUAAUACGGGAUAUUUUGGGUCUGUCGCUUGAUGGGUCUGGGAUGGAUAUUGUUUCGGUGGGGGAUGGGCUCGCGGCCUAUCAGCUUGUUGGUGGGGCGAUGGCCUACCAAGGCGGCGGCGGGUAGCCGGCCUGAGAGGGUGGCCGGCCACGCUGGUGCUGAGACACAGCGCAGCCUCCUAACGGAGGCAGCAGUGAGGAAUAUUGGACGAUGGGCACAAGGCUGAAGCAGCGCCGCCGCGUGGGAGAUGGACGCCGUCGGGUAGUACACCUCUUUCGUCGGAGAAGCAGUCCUGCAUCGUCUGUGCGUGGGUUGACGGUACCUGGAUAAGAAGCGCCGGCUAACUACGUG
Molecule: ribosomal RNA, 494 nt
Filed under: uncultured bacterium
Lineage: Bacteria
Description: partial 16S ribosomal RNA
Rfam family: Bacterial small subunit ribosomal RNA
Source: RNAcentral